GAUGAACGCUGGCGGCGUGCCUAAUACAUGCAAGUCGAGCGAACAGACGAGGAGCUUGCUCCUCUGACGUUAGCGGCGGACGGGUGAGUAACACGUGGAUAACCUACCUAUAAGACUGGGAUAACUUCGGGAAACCGGAGCUAAUACCGGAUAAUAUAUUGAACCGCAUGGUUCAAUAGUGAGAGACGGUUUUGCUGUCACUUAUAGAUGGGUCCGCGCCGCAUUAGCUAGUUGGUAAGGUAACGGCUUACCAAGGCAACGAUGCGUAGCCGACCUGAGAGGGUGAUCGGCCACACUGGAACUGAGACACGGUCCAGACUCCUACGGGAGGCAGCAGUAGGGAAUCUUCCGCAAUGGGCGAAAGCCUGACGGAGCAACGCCGCGUGAGUGAUGAAGGUCUUCGGAUCGUAAAACUCUGUUAUUAGGGAAGAACAAAUGUGUAAGUAACUAUGCACGCCUUGACGGUACCUAAUCAGAAAGCCACGGCUAACUACGUG
Molecule: ribosomal RNA, 497 nt
Filed under: uncultured bacterium
Lineage: Bacteria
Description: partial 16S ribosomal RNA
Rfam family: Bacterial small subunit ribosomal RNA
Source: RNAcentral